Mustela lutreola (European mink) is the source of this 984-nucleotide long non-coding RNA. RefSeq lists it as uncharacterized. The transcript has 3 exons. Lineage: Eukaryota; Metazoa; Chordata; Mammalia; Carnivora; Mustelidae. The record is from RefSeq and is a predicted model, not a curated record.
UUCUGGAGGGGAACAGCAGCCUCCUUUCCACUGCCCCAGCCGGUGCUCCAGACAAGAGUGGCCUGGUAGCCCUGCCGAAGCCUCCCCUGGGCAAGUAUGGUGGGGACUGAGGGGGCCGAAAUUGCUCAGCCAGUGGAGUUCGCAGUGGGAAUCCAGAAAAAACCAAUAUCCUAUGACCAGACUGUUCUCCUCUGUACUAGUCCUCUGUACUAGUCCUGUGUCCUGGCUGAGGACCAUGGCAUAACUCCUCAGGGCAAGGCAAGGAAGCCUUGAGAAUAACUGAGGCUGAACUUCCCACCAACCCAGCCGGAGGAGAGCUCAGAGUUGAAAUCCAGUUAACUAACCGGAAAUCAAGAAAUGCAGUAUUUCUUGAACUCUUCCAUCUCUGGACAGAAAUUCAUACCCAAUUCCCUUGCAGGAGACAUUUACUGAGGGCCAUCUGUGGGCCCAGCAGGGUCUAUAAUUCCAAAGGGGACCCACAAGGAGGAACAAGAAUUAGAGGCAUCAUCACCUCCAAGGAGUGGGCCAUCUGAAAGGAAGACACUUCCGUGCAGUGUGUACUUGUCCAGUUUAGAUACUUGGUAUUGAACUAGCUCAAGCGAAGAGAAAGCAGGAGUUAGAUAGAUAUUCUGCUCUAAGUAACAAUCCAGGAUGGCGGGAGGGCAUUCCAGCCCUUCAGAGUCCAAGAGUUUGAAGAAGUCCAAGGUAGACUUUUCUGAAAAAUCCUCUGAAGAACCACUAAAAGAAUAACCAGAAACCAUCUCCCAGAUAAACAGAUGACCCAGGAGGAAGAUGAGAAUGAGUCACAGAUUUGUCUUUUUGUUUAUCAUAACUGAAGUUUUUGGACUAUAUCAUUUUCUCCUUGUGGGCUCAGUCAUCUUCCAACCCAAUUCCCAUACCUGAACUCUGUCUCAGCCUUUACAAACAUUUUUAGCUACUCUUCCCAUAUUGGCUCUCAUUUUUUCCUAUAUAUUACCCGUCAAA